This 24-nucleotide non-coding RNA is filed under the name Cricetulus griseus (Chinese hamster). The record is from RNAcentral. Lineage: Eukaryota; Metazoa; Chordata; Mammalia; Rodentia; Cricetidae.
GGAAAUUGAUAGUCUGAGACACUG